RNAcentral lists this ribosomal RNA (1553 nucleotides) under Staphylococcus aureus. Its description in RNAcentral is "16S ribosomal RNA". It matches the Rfam family "Bacterial small subunit ribosomal RNA". Lineage: Bacteria; Bacillati; Bacillota; Bacilli; Caryophanales; Staphylococcaceae. The record is from RNAcentral.
AUUUUUAUGGAGAGUUUGAUCCUGGCUCAGGAUGAACGCUGGCGGCGUGCCUAAUACAUGCAAGUCGAGCGAACGGACGAGAAGCUUGCUUCUCUGAUGUUAGCGGCGGACGGGUGAGUAACACGUGGAUAACCUACCUAUAAGACUGGGAUAACUUCGGGAAACCGGAGCUAAUACCGGAUAAUAUUUUGAACCGCAUGGUUCAAAAGUGAAAGACAGUCUUGCUGUCACUUAUAGAUGGAUCCGCGCUGCAUUAGCUAGUUGGUAAGGUAACGGCUUACCAAGGCAACGAUGCAUAGCCGACCUGAGAGGGUGAUCGGCCACACUGGAACUGAGACACGGUCCAGACUCCUACGGGAGGCAGCAGUAGGGAAUCUUCCGCAAUGGGCGAAAGCCUGACGGAGCAACGCCGCGUGAGUGAUGAAGGUCUUCGGAUCGUAAAACUCUGUUAUUAGGGAAGAACAUAUGUGUAAGUAACUGUGCACAUCUUGACGGUACCUAAUCAGAAAGCCACGGCUAACUACGUGCCAGCAGCCGCGGUAAUACGUAGGUGGCAAGCGUUAUCCGGAAUUAUUGGGCGUAAAGCGCGCGUAGGCGGUUUUUUAAGUCUGAUGUGAAAGCCCACGGCUCAACCGUGGAGGGUCAUUGGAAACUGGAAAACUUGAGUGCAGAAGAGGAAAGUGGAAUUCCAUGUGUAGCGGUGAAAUGCGCAGAGAUAUGGAGGAACACCAGUGGCGAAGGCGACUUUCUGGUCUGUAACUGACGCUGAUGUGCGAAAGCGUGGGGAUCAAACAGGAUUAGAUACCCUGGUAGUCCACGCCGUAAACGAUGAGUGCUAAGUGUUAGGGGGUUUCCGCCCCUUAGUGCUGCAGCUAACGCAUUAAGCACUCCGCCUGGGGAGUACGACCGCAAGGUUGAAACUCAAAGGAAUUGACGGGGACCCGCACAAGCGGUGGAGCAUGUGGUUUAAUUCGAAGCAACGCGAAGAACCUUACCAAAUCUUGACAUCCUUUGACAACUCUAGAGAUAGAGCUUUCCCCUUCGGGGGACAAAGUGACAGGUGGUGCAUGGUUGUCGUCAGCUCGUGUCGUGAGAUGUUGGGUUAAGUCCCGCAACGAGCGCAACCCUUAAGCUUAGUUGCCAUCAUUAAGUUGGGCACUCUAAGUUGACUGCCGGUGACAAACCGGAGGAAGGUGGGGAUGACGUCAAAUCAUCAUGCCCCUUAUGAUUUGGGCUACACGUGCUACAAUGGACAAUACAAAGGGCAGCGAAACCGCGAGGUCAAGCAAAUCCCAUAAAGUUGUUCUCAGUUCGGAUUGUAGUCUGCAACUCGACUACAUGAAGCUGGAAUCGCUAGUAAUCGUAGAUCGGCAUGCUACGGUGAAUACGUUCCCGGGUCUUGUACACACCGCCCGUCACACCACGAGAGUUUGUAACACCCGAAGCCGGUGGAGUAACCUUUUAGGAGCUAGCCGUCGAAGGUGGGACAAAUGAUUGGGGUGAAGUCGUAACAAGGUAGCCGUAUCGGAAGGUGCGGCUGGAUCACCUCCUUU